GGUAUGGGUCCUUAAGAAUCCUAUCACUUCUAAACUCAAAGAUUACUUUGUCAUUUUCAAAUUGAAGAUUCUUAGGUGGGACAUUGGAUUGAUGACUAGGUCUGGGUGGUUGGUGGAUGGGUAGGUCAUUUUUAAAAUUCGAUAUUGGUUGGCUCGAUAAUUGACCUAGUUCUCUUCUCAUGGUAGACUCAGCUAAUUGACCUAUUUGUGCUUCUA
Molecule: long non-coding RNA, 216 nt
Filed under: Elaeis guineensis (African oil palm)
Lineage: Eukaryota; Viridiplantae; Streptophyta; Magnoliopsida; Arecales; Arecaceae
Description: long non-coding RNA (EGUI_LNC050725)
Source: RNAcentral